AACCACUGGGAGUGGGCUGGUUCACACGAUAUAUUCAUGGAGAUGUGCGUUUCUCUCAGAGUAUAUAUACUGAGAGAUUACUUUGAUUCCUAUUUUAGGGAUCACAAUAUUUUUAUCUGAUAGUGAGUAAGAUACGUGCAGCCGUAAUGACCCUAGUGUAGUGGAUGGGCUUUAAAACCCAUUAUCCAGGGAUCCAUAGUGCUCUCUUGGCGGCGGUGAUCACUUGUGUGCUUAACUAAAAGUCACAUUGGGAUUGAGACCAUGGGUUACCUGGGCUUCCUGCUGGGUGACCUGACAAGUGUCUACUCUACAUGGUCUAACUAACUCCCAUCAUACUCGACACUUUGAUUUGUUUGCAGAGCAGUAGUCCACGACCUUCUAGAAGGGCCACAUGUGGCCCUCGGGCUGCAAGUUGAGGAUCCCUGGUGUAGAGAAUUGCAAAGAGGGAAAAAGUGUUUAUCAUCCUCCAUGCAACAGCUUUCAUGCCAGAAGUGCCUGAGCAACAGUCACCAUCCCUACCCACCCGUCCUUCAGAAUGCCGGCACAGUACCUCCUACUCCAACACUUAAGUCCAGGCAUACGUUCUCAACUGCAAAACUGCUGGUAACAACCUUAGUCCAAGUUAAGAGCACAGCUGAUUAAUUUCCGUCAACCUACAGCUAAGUUCAUGGUCAAACCUUCAAUGAGUUACGAGAGUAACCUGGUCUUGGACCAGGCUUGGCUGGUAUCUGGUGCUUCUCUCCAUCACUGCCAGUAACUUCUGCUGUAAAGCAAUCGAUGACAUGCACAUGGUCUCCACAAGCAGCAUAGACAUGAGUGUUGAUGGGAAGGAGUGCCGAGACUACUAGUGAGCCGAGGACAAUAUUAUGAGGUUCACGGAUUUGCCAGGC
Molecule: non-coding RNA, 890 nt
Organism: Cherax quadricarinatus
Lineage: Eukaryota; Metazoa; Arthropoda; Malacostraca; Decapoda; Parastacidae
Source: RefSeq, a predicted model, not a curated record